RNAcentral lists this ribosomal RNA (484 nucleotides) under uncultured bacterium. RNAcentral's name for it is "partial 16S ribosomal RNA". It matches the Rfam family "Bacterial small subunit ribosomal RNA", at positions 30 to 507 of the family's 1533-position model. The record is from RNAcentral.
AUUGAACGCUGGCGGCAGGCCUAACACAUGCAAGUCGAACGGCUGCACAGUACUUGCUCGUGGUUUCAGGGGGCGACUGGUGGGUGAUUCCUAGAAAUCUCCGUGUUUGCUUUUUCUUGCGUCCUAACACGGGGACUCUUACCCCAUUACUCCUGACGGCGAACGUGGGGGAGCUUCGGAUCUUCCGCCCUCGCGCGAUUCUAUGUCGGAUUAGCUAGUUGGCUGGUUAAAGGCCUACCAAGGCGACGAUCCGUAACUGGUCUGAGAGGAUGAUCAGUCACACUGGAACUGAGACACGGUCCAGACUCCUACGGGAGGCAGCAGUGGGGAAUAUUGGACAAUGGGCGCAAGCCUGAUCCAGCCAUGCCGCGUGUGUGAAGAAGGUCUUCGGAUUGUAAAGCACUUUUGGUGGGGAAGAAGAGCAGCAGGUUAAUACCCCGCUGUUUUGACGGUACCAAAAGAAUAAGCACCGGCUAACUUCGUG